Unclassified non-coding RNA from Prolemur simus (greater bamboo lemur), 102 nucleotides. It matches the Rfam family "Y RNA". From Rfam's summary of the family: Y RNAs are components of the Ro ribonucleoprotein particle (Ro RNP), in association with Ro60 and La proteins. The Y RNAs and Ro60 and La proteins are well conserved, but the function of the Ro RNP is not known. The record is from Ensembl. Lineage: Eukaryota; Metazoa; Chordata; Mammalia; Primates; Lemuridae.
GGUUGGUCCGAGUGCAGUGGUGUUUACACAUAAUUGAUCAUAACCAGUUACAGAUUCCUUUGUUCCUUCUCCACUCCCACUCCUUCACUUGACCAGCCUUUA